GAAAGCCAUUAAGAGCAUUAAAAGGAUUAGUAAAAUUACAAGCAUUGGUUAGGGGUUGUUUGGUAAGAAAACAAUUAUUUUUUUCUUGUAAUAAUUUUUUUUUAAUUAUUGAUAUGAGAUUUUACAAUCAAGAAAGGCAUUAAGAAAAUUAAAAGGAUUAGUAAAAUUACAAGGAUUGGUUAGGGGUUAUUUGGUAAGAAAACAAUUAUUCUUUUUCUUGUGCUAAUUUUUUUUUAAUUAUUGAUAUGUGAUUUUACAGGCAAAAAAGGCAUUAAGAGCAUUAAAAGGAUUAGUAAAAUUACAAGCAAGUGCUACACUUCAUGGUAAGCAAGCAUUAAUGAGAGCACAAGCAAGUGUACGUGGUAAAAAAUGCUUCAUUAAAAAUCAAAAUUCACAACUUCAUCAUGCAAGAAAAUCA
RNAcentral lists this long non-coding RNA (418 nucleotides) under Capsicum annuum. RNAcentral's name for it is "long non-coding RNA (CANN_LNC013372)". The record is from RNAcentral. Lineage: Eukaryota; Viridiplantae; Streptophyta; Magnoliopsida; Solanales; Solanaceae.